RNAcentral lists this long non-coding RNA (646 nucleotides) under Prunus persica (peach). RNAcentral's name for it is "long non-coding RNA (PPER_LNC007112)". The record is from RNAcentral. Lineage: Eukaryota; Viridiplantae; Streptophyta; Magnoliopsida; Rosales; Rosaceae.
UUGUAGGUCCUCUCGUGGAUUGUGGAGAAUAAGUUUUGUAUAAAUCAUUGUGUGCAUCUCUUAGGUUUUGUACAGCUUUUGAUAUUUGUGUUGAGCAUAUAGAAUUCUUAAGCAAAAGCUGAUGUGCAUAUAUUUGAGAUAAAUCAUCAAGUGUUCCAUGUUUACUUGGUGAUUUAUCAAACACUUUAAUCAUUCAUAUUGCAUUCAUAUGCAUGUCGGUGACUCAUACGGUUGAGUGCACCAAGACCGUGGUGGCGGUUUUCCUCCGGCGAGCUUGAAGCAAUCGUGGCCAGUAUUGCGUUCAACAUAAGGAGUGUCGAAGAUCAUCCCGUGACAGAAGUUGAGUUACGAAGAAGUCAGUAAACAUUAUCUAGAAUGAGUCUAGGAUAAGUGUGUGAGUACUUCUUGUAAUCAUCGUUCUAUAGUGGAUUUGAGUUGGACUGAGGAGUCCCGUGGAUUUUACCUAGAGGUGGGGUUUUACCACGUAAAAUAAUUCUCUGCGUGUUCUUUUAUUUUAAGCUUUGCACAUCUCAGGAUUGAUAACUAAUAUCAAUCCUGCUUCAAAGGUUGAUCAUUAUUUAUUGCAAAAAAUUCGAAUUAGCUUAUUUAACCUUCUCCAGGCAUAUAUAGAUAUCCUACAGGUAUU